This 301-nucleotide ribosomal RNA is filed under the name uncultured bacterium. RNAcentral describes it as "partial 16S ribosomal RNA". It matches the Rfam family "Bacterial small subunit ribosomal RNA", at positions 509 to 807 of the family's 1533-position model. The record is from RNAcentral.
CAGUAGCCACGGUAAUACGUAGGGUGCAAGCGUUAAUCGGAAUUACUGGGCGUAAAGCGUGCGCAGGCGGUGUUGUAAGACUGAUGUGAAAUCCCCGGGCUCAACCUGGGAACUGCAUUGGUGACUGCAACGCUGGAGUGCGGCAGAGGGGGAUGGAAUUCCGCGUGUAGCAGUGAAAUGCGUAGAUAUGCGGAGGAACACCGAUGGCGAAGGCAAUCCCCUGGGCCUGUACUGACGCUCAUGCACGAAAGCGUGGGGAGCAAACAGGAUUAGAUACCCCCGUAGUCCCUGUCUCUUAUAC